Meriones unguiculatus (Mongolian gerbil) is the source of this 2808-nucleotide long non-coding RNA. RefSeq lists it as uncharacterized. The record is from RefSeq and is a predicted model, not a curated record. NCBI's taxonomy places the organism in Eukaryota, Metazoa, Chordata, Mammalia, Rodentia, Muridae. The transcript is spliced from 3 exons.
UGGGGGCCAUGGCAGUAGGGGUGUUGCUGUCACAGUUUUUUUCAGUGCCCACCAGCAGACCUACUCAGGUGGGGUGAGGUUGUUGGGGGCUUUGACCCCUGGUAGUCACCUCCAUGUUACCAGAGAGACCACCCCUGCCCAUCCAAGAGCCUGUGGCCUCUUCACAGACAUGCAGCCCCUUGCCAGGCUCCUGCCAAGCAGCCACUAGUUGAGGUAAACCACCCCACCCUUUCCAGGGCCCCAGCCACUUGGGAGGUGCUAAAGGAGUCAGGCCUGACUGCAAAGAGCUCUCCUGUGCUGAGCGCUGCCAGCCCUCACACCGCUGAACUGCCUUACAUGACACCCUUUGGCUCUGCACGCCGUCAUGGGGUGAGUGUUAAUGGCAUCCACAGGCCAGGAGGCUGACGGCGAGGGCCGAGUUCCCCAGGUCCAGAGCUGCUAUGGUAUGACUAGAUAUGAACCGUGGUAGGGAGGUUCGGAGGUCCCACGUUCCAGGAGAGGUCGGGGACAGCCGUGGAAAGCGAGUUUCCCCAGCUGUGUCCUCUCCACAGAUGCCCUCUGCGUGCCCCCGGUGCCUGUGUUUGUACCUGCCAAUUUCGAUUACCUCCCCCCUUGCCAGCACUCAGCUAAGCUCAGAACUGACCCAGGCGGCUGGCACUCCCUGUUCCACUCCCUGGGUUUGCCAACAGGACCCUGAGCACACAAGCAUUUACAGGGCUGGCACGGCUAACGACUCAGAGGCGAUCCUAUCCAGUUCCUAGGAGAGAGAUCAGUACAGCCAAGUGCCUAGCAAGUGCUGGUCUGGAAACGAGCCCGUCGGGGAGCGAAAAGAUCAGAUCUCUGCUCUCGGUUUCACCCCCACCAAAACUGAUUUGUCAUGUCUUCCUGACUCCGUGCGUGGCUCCGGCUGUUGCCUGUAAGUAAUGACCUGUGCUUCAGGUACUGCUUUGCCGCUAAAAAGCACGUUUACCCCCUGAGCAGUGGCUUGGCUGCUCGGGUAUGCAGUGCUCGUCCAGCGAGCACAGCCCUGGAUUUCCUUCCCAACCCCGGGGGAUAAAGAGGAAAAGGUAGGACAGGGAGAUGGUUCAACAGGUGAAGGGGAUGGUCCCACACGUCCAGUGACCUUUGUCUGCUCGUGGGACCCCAGAGCAAAGCGGGAGGAGAACUGGGCUCGGUGGACACCUUUAAUCCCAGCGUGUGGGAAGCAGAGGGCAGUCUGAUCCACACUCCGAGUUCUAGGCCAACCAGGGCUACAUAGUGAGCCCCUGACUCAAAAAUUAAAUUAAAAAAAAAAAAAGAAGUGGAAGGAGAAAACCAUCUGCAGGUCAGCCUCUGGUAUUCCCGAACUCCGUGGUGUGCUCAUCAUACCACACACAAUGAGCUUUAUUGUUAAUUGUGUGAAGGGACAUGGGUAUGUGUGACGGCUGGAGGCAUCAGGUCCCCUGGUACGGAAAUUACAUGCUGUUGUGAGCUGCCUGACAUGUGCUAGGACCUGAACGUGGGUCCUCUGGAAGAGCAGCAGGUGCUCUAGCCGCUGAACCAACUCUCUACCCCAUUAAAAAAAAAAAAAAAAAAAAAAAAUUUUAUUUAAUGUGCAUUACUGUUUUGUCUGCAAGUACAUCUGUAUGAGGGUGUUGGAUCCCCUGCAACUGGAGUUACAGACAGAUGUGAGCUGCCAUGUGGGCGCUGGGAAUUGAACCCGGGACCUCUGCAAGAGCAGCCACUGCUCUUAACCGCUGAGCCAUCUCUCUCAGCCCCCUCCCCUUUUAUUUUUUAAAUUAAAAGGAGGCACAGAUAUGGUUCUAUGUGCCUUUAAUCCCAGCACUCAGGAGGCAGAGUCAAGCAGAUCUCUAUGAAUGUGAGGCCGGCCUGCGCUACGUGGUGAGCUCCGGGCCAGCCAGUGAGACUUUGCCUCCAAUUUUCAAAUUAAUAAACAAAUGGCAGGAGAUGGAGGGAGAGUGCAGUAGGUCUCUGGGUAAAAGCGCUUGCAGCCUGAGUUCGGUCCCCAGGCCCCACACAGGGAGAACCAGUUCCUGCAAAGAAUUAGCUCACCUCCAUGUGUAUCACGGUGCGUGCACAUGCCCGCUCUCUCUCACAAACACUGUCUCUCUCUCUGAAUAAACUGGUGGGAGAGGUGUCUCGGCAGUGAAGAGCACUUGCUGCUCUUCUAUAGGACCAGACUUUGGUUCCCAGCACUGACACUGCACAGCUCACAGCCAUUGGCUUGUGAUCUGACCUCUUCUCUGACCUGCACAGGCUCCUGCAUGCACGUGAAUACACAUACACUCGGCUGCACCUGCGUGUGCGUGCGCACACACGCACGCACACGCACACACACGCACACACAAUUGUAGUAUUUUUUAAAAGCUAGCCUGGGAGCUGGAGAAGACGGCUCAGUGGUUAAGAGCACUGUCUGCUCUUCCAAAGGACCAGGUUCAAUUCCUAGCACCCACACACAUGGCAGCUCACAACCAACUGUAAUGCCAAUUCUAAGGGAUAUGAUACCUUCACACUAAUGCUCGUAAAAUAAAAAUAAAUAAAUAAAAGAUAAAAAAUUAGUUUGGAGCCGGGCAGUAGUGGCACACACCUUUAAUCCCAGUACUUGGGAGGCAGAGACAGGUGGGGCUCUGUGGGUUUGAGGCUAGCUCUGGUCUACAGAGCAAGUUCCAGGACAGCCAGAGCUACAUGACAGAGAGAACCUUUUUCCUCCAACAUAUUUGACUUUUAUCAGUUAUUUGGGAAUUUUAUUGGUUGUUUCUAUUGAUUAUUUGGGAGUUUCAAAUCAUCUAACCCUCAUCACUUUCACUU